Molecule: ribosomal RNA, 509 nt
Filed under: uncultured bacterium
Lineage: Bacteria
Description: bacterial SSU rRNA
Rfam family: Bacterial small subunit ribosomal RNA
Source: RNAcentral
GGCCUUCGGGCCUUGGUAGCGCAGCUAACGCGUGAAGUUGACCGCCUGGGGAGUACGGUCGCAAGAUUAAAACUCAAAGGAAUUGACGGGGACCCGCACAAGCGGUGGAUGAUGUGGAUUAAUUCGAUGCAACGCGAAAAACCUUACCUACCCUUGACAUGUCUGGAAUGCCGAAGAGAUUUGGCAGUGCUCGCAAGAGAACCGGAACACAGGUGCUGCAUGGCUGUCGUCAGCUCGUGUCGUGAGAUGUUGGGUUAAGUCCCGCAACGAGCGCAACCCUUGUCAUUAGUUGCUACGAAAGGGCACUCUAAUGAGACUGCCGGUGACAAACCGGAGGAAGGUGGGGAUGACGUCAAGUCCUCAUGGCCCUUAUGGGUAGGGCUUCACACGUCAUACAAUGGUCGGGACAGAGGGUCGCCAACCCGCGAGGGGGAGCCAAUCCCAGAAACCCGAUCGUAGUCCGGAUCGCAGUCUGCAACUCGACUGCGUGAAGUCGGAAUCGCUAGUAA